CCGGGACGCCCUUCCCUUUCGCCCCUCCCCGUGUAGCCUGGCCAGGAGGGCGUCGGGCCUCGCGUGGGGGCAGCUGAGGGCUGCGUGGUUGGCUAAGACCCAGUGGAAGGUGACAGAGUGUGGCAAUUAAGAGGAUGGGGUCCACAGCCAGAUGGCCAAGAAUCAAAUCCCAGCCCUCCCCCCCCCACCCUCAGCUGAUGACCUUCAGCACCACCUCCGUUUCCUGGUCUGUCAACAACGCCCCCCUCAUCGGGUUGCUUGAGGAUUAAAUGAGAUGCAAGGACAGUGUUUAGCACAUUGCCUGGCCCCUAGUGAGCGCUCAGUAAAUGUGUGCUAUUA
Non-coding RNA from Equus caballus (horse), 339 nucleotides. The record is from RefSeq and is a predicted model, not a curated record. Lineage: Eukaryota; Metazoa; Chordata; Mammalia; Perissodactyla; Equidae.